RNAcentral lists this RNase P RNA (398 nucleotides) under Paenirhodobacter populi. RNAcentral's name for it is "RNase P RNA component class A". It matches the Rfam family "Bacterial RNase P class A". From Rfam's summary of the family: Ribonuclease P (RNase P) is a ubiquitous endoribonuclease, found in archaea, bacteria and eukarya as well as chloroplasts and mitochondria. Lineage: Bacteria; Pseudomonadati; Pseudomonadota; Alphaproteobacteria; Rhodobacterales. The record is from RNAcentral.
GCGGAUGGCUGGAUGACCGCGGCUUCCCAUAGCUCCGUCUUGCGGACAGCUGGGAGGACGAGGAAAGUCCGGACUCCAUGAAGCGACGGUGCCGGAUAACGUCCGGCGGGGGUAACCCCAGGGAAAGCGCAACAGAGAACAGACCGCCAUGGUCUCGGCCAUGGUAAGGGUGAAACGGUGGGGUAAGAGCCCACCGCGGGACUGGCAACAGGACCGGCUUGGCAAGCCCCACCGGGAGCAACGCCGAAUAGGGAUCGCGCGCCGCCUUGGCGGCAGGGGAGCUUCGCCCCGAGCGGUCCGGGUUGGCGGCUUGAGACGGCGCGUGAGCGUGCGUCCAGAGGAAUGGUCAUCCAGGGGGCAACCCCGGACAGAAUCCGGCUUACAGGCCAUCCGCGCAG